This is a long non-coding RNA of Capra hircus (goat), 9183 nucleotides long. RefSeq lists it as uncharacterized. The transcript has 2 exons. The record is from RefSeq and is a predicted model, not a curated record. Lineage: Eukaryota; Metazoa; Chordata; Mammalia; Artiodactyla; Bovidae.
UUCUUUGAAUUUUUUUAGUAUAUAUAUGAUUGCCAAAUCAUAAAGUAUACUGUGUAAUUGUUAUCAGUGUGACAUCUUUUUUUUUCCCUCUAGCCUUCCCUGGUGGUUAUAGGAAACCCUGGGGUCUCCUUGGGUCUGUGGCCACCUUCUGGCCCUUCUAGUUCACGUCCUGCUUGCUUGGCCGGCCCAAUUGGGCCCCUUGGAACACGUCCACACCACGAGACGGGAGGGGAGGGGCACUGACGCCUCCCCUCCCAGCGACCCUGUGUGGGGAGGCCCGAACAGAGCCUUAUUUUGUGCUCACAUCUUAUUUGUGUGCUGGUUUUACUUAUUUCAUAUCUGCAUUUCUUUGUGUGUAUAUUUUCACUAUCCUUGUCAUUUUUCAGUGCCUGUAUAGCAUUCUUUCCUGAUAAUACACACCAGUGUCCCACUAGGAUUGUUUUAAUUUUUCCUCAUAAUUAAUAGUAAUGCUAUGUACAUUUUUAUAUGCUUUUACCUUUUUUUUCACUUUAUAUUAUUCCCUUGGGCCAAAUUUACCUAAAUGUAGUUACCAGGUCCAAAAGUACAGCUGGAACCAUAACUCACCUUAUUGUUAGACUGCUUUUCAGAAAAAUCAAAUUUGUAGGAUUGUCACCACUGUAGAGUUCAAAUGUUUCCCUACAUCUGGGCAACACUGGAUUUUUAUCAUUUUAUUCCUUUUUUCUUCUCUGAAAGAUAUAUUGUGAUACAUUUGGGUUAUUCUAAUUUGCAUUUUAUUUCAUUGCAUUGUUACUUUUAGUGCUUUCAUUUUUAAAAAAAUAUUUAAAUGGUUCUAUCUCUAAGGACUGUAGUUACCAGCUCAUACAUUCUUAAUGUAUUUUGGCCAGCAGACUUUGAAGAGCUAUGGUAGGCACCUUUCCUCCCAUUCUGGUGCUCACCUUUUGACAUUUAGUUCAUUAGACAAAAGAGCAUUUUAAAAAAUGACUGACUUUAUCUGAGACUAUGAAUGCAGUGAUAUUAGGACGUAGCAGCUGUCAGAUGGCAUGCACGCAUUCUCUCCUUCCAUUCUCACCUCCCUCUUCCUCUCUGUUUUCUGCCCUUUUUUGAGAGAGGAUAUUAGACUUCUUGCUAAAGUCAUAUGAAAAUACACUUGUUAUCCAAAGCCUAUCUCUGAGAAGGAUACUGGUCCCAUUGGUAAUAGAGAUUGCCUUGGGAGAGGUGAACCAGGCCAACAGCUGGGAGAGGAGAGGGAAACUUUUCACUGUAGCUUUUAUAACUUUUGAUUUCCAAACUGGAUUGCUAUUACUUUAAAAAAAUUAUUUUUUGGUAUUACUUUUGUGUUGUUGUUGAUAUAUUUUUAUUUAUUUUUUUAAUUUAAAUUUAUUUAUUUUAAUUGGAGGCUAAUUACAAUAUUGUAUUGGUUCUGCCACACAUGAACAUGAAAACAAAGGCUUAUGUAAGAUCAGUGCUUGUCAUUAUUGUGGAUCUUUAAAAGCUAACUUUAAAACCUGUGCUGUUGCGUGCGAUAAACUUCAGUAUGUAAGGGCAGAAAAUGAGAUGAAGGCAGUGCAAUUUAGGUAUAUGUGAUAUUUGGGCAGAACUGCCUGCCAUUCUAUUUACUAAACAUCACUUAACAUAACAUUUCUGGACUAUAGGUACAGCAUAAAGGAAACUGACUUUCAUAGAAAUACUUCCCUUGGGCCAUUAGUAUAAGGCUGAGACCUUCCACUGACCUACAUUCCUGGAUAAAGCUGGGGUAUGAGAAUGACUACUGAGUGAUCUUCUUCAUGUGUUUCUGUCUCAUGGAAGCCGUUUCUAGCCAAGCACUGCUUGAGGCCAGCUGGCAGAUGCAGGUUCCAAUUUUCUGUUGUGAUUCCCUGACUUUGGUGUUCUCCAUGGGGCUUAUCCUUUCUCCAUCGAUUGAGUUUUGACAAGUGCAGUGGCACAAAUAUGACUGGAAACCAUGAGCUCCUCUCUGGCCACACUGGUGGUGCAUGUCUCUUAAAGGGACCAAGAGGAUGCCUGGAGGCUUCAAAGCCCCCUGAGGAGUUAGAUCUCUAGACGUCUUUGUUUGAGGAUAGACUUUGGAAAUGAACUUUCAGGGAAUCCUUCAACCUAAUUGGAAUUGGCUGUUGUCCCUGAGGCCUUGUACCGAUUAGACUUGUGCUGUCUGAUAAGGGAACCACUAGCUAUAUGUGGCUAUUUAAAUUGAAAUAAAAUGGAAAGACUGGGUUCCCCAGUCAUGCUAGUGACAGUAGCCACGUGGGGCUGGUGCCUCCUGUACCAAACUGAGCAGAUACAGACCGUUUCCAUUAUGGUAGAAUGUCCUAUGGGCCAGAGCUAAAUUGUUCAGGCAUGGCAGCAGUGUACGCAGAUGUGUGGCCUGAGGGGAUCGCCCUCCUGGUGCCAUAAAGGCCUCCCUAAUCCUAACGGUCCUUUGAGGAUUGUCUGAAUUCCAGUCCUCCAGCAAAUGUAUCCUGACCACUCCAACCCACAGUGAUGACUCCCUUCUUUGAACACUAGGGUGCCUGAAAGAUGUGAUGACACGUUGUUUUAUUGAUAUCACACUUUUGCCUUUGAAGUUAGUUCUCAUCUUCCCAGCAAGGCUGCAGGGCCCUCAAGAGCAGAGCUUCAACCCCACACUGCCUGCUAGAUGCAUCUAUAUGUGACACAAAACUUCUCUUUUCAUUGCAAAAUGCUUGUCAGAAGCAUUUAUCAAAACCCUCCUUUUCUCCAACUGCCUUUUUAUGCUUUCUUUGCUCUUAUCUUCAAUAGUUACAAGAAUCAGUGUGUAGGACACAAUGUCAGCUUUAACAACCAUUUAUUUUUUGAGGAAGGUCAACAUGCUUAUUAUUGGGUAUUACAGUCUCACUUUCUGUCUUGGUGAGGGGGUGAGGGUGAGGAAGGUUUCAGAAACACUGGUGUUAGAUCUUGAAAACACUUUGGAGAAAGUUGAUAUCUUCCUCAUCAUUUCAGACCCCUGUUCUAGAGGAAGUAUGGGGCUUUUCAAAGUCUGUGAACAACCAAAGGAGAAAUGUGAUCAGUUACCAGGCUUUCCAGUUGCUGUCAGGCCCUGGGGAGUGACCAUUUAGGAUUCAGAAAUAAGUAGUUAUGUAAUAGCUUUUGUUUUUAAAAGUGCUUUCACAAAGAGUAUUUUGCUCCUUCUGACAGCCUUGGGAAGAAAGCAGGAGAAACCCAGUGAGAUCAGAUGCCUUGUCUAAGGUCACAUGGGUAGCCUGAUGAGCUAAUUUCACACAAGAAGGUUAACUUUCAACUCUUAACAGUACUGGUGUCCGUUUCAAAAUGUCCAGGCAAAAGCAGCUAUGCACUACAAAAGGCUAUCAUUUCUCCACUGUUUGGGUACAUUUUCAGUUGUCUGAUCCCAAGUGAUCUGUUUGUUAUGUGAGCUAUACAGGACUUGUGUGGCCAAUGAAAGUCUCCAUUUGGACUCAUUGUUCUAUACCACUUGUCUUGUGCAAAGGGCUCUUAAAGCAUCUAAUAGUUUAUCUUAACAAAAUAAUUGUUGUAUCUGUAAGGACAGAAAUGAGCAUUUAUCUUUGUUGCUGAUGCAUUGUGACAAGAUGUCAUAAAAAGACACAGGGCAAUAAAGCACAUAGCUUCUUAUUUCUAGUAAAAGACAUGGUUCUCCUAGACUUCUUGCAAAUCCUCAGUUUUUCUCUUUAGCAAUAUAACCUUAGGAACCUCAAGGAUCUAUGAUUAAAACUAAGGUAGCAGAUAGCAAAUUUAACCCCAAAUAAACGUGGGAGGGGUAAUAGUUUAGCUCUUCAGAUCAAUAAUGCAGUACUGGAAUGUGCUGAUAGUUUAAACAAAAUAAGAACAACCAAGAAAUUAAAAGGAAAAAGCCAAAAUUUGUAAAGGUAAAGACUUGAAUGGAGAGAUCUCUUCUGAAAAAGUAAGAAAAAGAGUUAGUUACAGAAUUCAAGCAUAUACUGCAAGGCCACAUUCUGAAAAUCUCGAGGGGAAGAAUAAAGCUUUGUUUUUGCAAUUUGUGGGUCUUGUUAAAAAUGUAGAUUCCUGGUCACCAUUUCCAGGUCUCCUUCAAGACACCCUUCUGCUGCUGCUUUUUUUUUUCCUUCUGCUGCUUUGAUCUGCUUUGUGGGCAGCACCAUGGACUUCACUUGGAAAAAGAAUAUGGGAUAGAGCCUCAAGACCUGUGAUGUUUGAGCCCUGGCUCAGCCACCUGCUGGCUGUGCCACCUCAGGCAGGUCAUUUGCCUCUAUUUUCUCCUCUUUGAGAGACAACUUCAAGACUUGCAAGGAAGCAUGGUGUGAUAAGCUUUAGUGACUGUUACCUUGUCAAUAUAAUGGAAAUGAUGCUUCACAGGGUGGAUGUGAGAAAAGCACUUAGCAGAAUGCCUGGUACAUGGGUGGUCCCUAAUAAAUGUUACUCCCAGUACCUGUCACCCCUUUGCUGUGAGGUUUAAAAUCAGAUAACUGCAUAAUAACCUGCAAAUUGCAAUCUACAUACAUACUAAGGGAGAAGGAAAUGGCAACCCACUCCAGUAUCCUUGCCUGGAGAGUCCCAUGGACAAAGGAGCCUGGAGGGCUACAAUCCAUGGGGUCGCAAAGAGUCAGACAUGACUGAGCGACUCACAUACACACACAUACAUACUAGUCAUAUUAUUUCAUCCUCAUAUUGCUGGUGAGUGGGUGUGCUGCAAGGCAAGAGCCAUUCAAUGUGAUGGGCAAGGGGGGUGAAUGAUCAAAACUCCUAUGUUCAAAAUGACAUAACAGAGCUUCAUUCUAAAAUGAUAAAUUUGUUCUACCUGAAGUGUCAUCGUUUGAGGACUAUUGGCUGGUCAGGUCACUUCUGCGUUGAUAAGAGGGUGAGAAACUGCCAAGACAAAGGUGCAAUACUAGCUUAAGCCUCUGCCCUUUGAUGGACAGGAAACACUAGAAACCCUGAAGGGAGCACAACCAUUGUGGCAUCGCACAUAGAAAUCUCAGGGCCCCUCAGUCUCAAAGAAUUAUCUUCUGGGACUUGGUUAUUCCUAGGCAUGACUUCUCAUAAUUCUUGCUAAUUAGGACACCCAGGAUUGGCACCAGACUCAGACAAGGGCUGCCGCUGGCAGGUAAUUUCAAGGGCUCAUGUGUCCCAGGUCACAAAACAAUGUCAGCCCUCCUGGAGCUUGGAACAAAUAGAACAUUUUUGAUCCUUCUCGGAGCAAAGAUAAUGAUAGUGGAGGUCUUAAGAGAAGAGGAGACAAGGGGAGGUCCAUUUUACUACUCCAAUCUUUGAAAUGAUUCUUAACCAUUGUGAGGUCUGGAGCAAGAAGGUGGUAGUAUGAGGUUGCAGCAGCCUGGAGGGGACAGAGCGGAGAUGGUGGCUCAGGUGCUGGCUUUGCUCUGUGGACCUUCCUCACCCAUUGGAAUGCAGAAGCAGCAGGGUCCCAGAAAGGCCUGCAAUAGGCUGGGGGAGGUGGCUGGGCUAGGUGUGCCAUGGUAAGGGUGGACAAAAAGGAUGGGGCAAAUCAAAGGCAAGAUGAGAGAAGCAUGAGAGAUGAGAGAAGCUCUCCACGCCAACACCUAUUGUCGGUAUGGAGAACAGAGUAUUAUGGUGAAAGUUUUGGAUUUGAGGCAGUUUAUGGAUUAAGAUACUGAGGAUAGGAUACAUAAAGGGAUAAACUGGGACAGAACAAUCUAAGGGACUGGUUCUUAACGUUGGCUGCACAGCACAACCAUCUGGAGAAAUAUUACAAAUAGGCGUGCUUGGACCCUGCCCCAAAUGAACAGGAAUCCCUGAGGCUGGGGCAAGCAUUGUUCUCUUUUCUAAGUUGCCUAGAUGACUUUAGCAUGAAGUGAGGUUGAGAAUUCCUUAUCUAAAGGAAGGAGGGGAAGGGGCAGAUGCUACUAAAUGGCCAGACACAAGUCCGUUAACUCAGUGGUUCUUAACACUGCCUGUUCGUCAAAAUCACCCAGGGCCCAGGCUGCAACCCAGACCAACUGAAUCCGAAUCUCUGGGGAUGGGACGCUGGGCGUCAGUUGUUAAAGUUGAUUCCAGGGUGCAGCCAGGGUUGAGAACCUCUGUGUAACAGUUCCCACACAGGGCUGUCCAUCAGCUUCAUGUGGGUAGAAGUUGAGGCAUUCCUGACUUAGUUGAAAUUUGACUCUGAUGGUGCUAAGGCUGUUGUUCUGACAAGACAAGCCCUUGCUGUCAUGAAACUUAUACUCAAGUGAAUCCUCUACCAGAGGAUGAGGGCAGGAAUAUUUGACAGCUUUGUUUACUUCUGAAUCUCUAGCCCUUGGCACAUAGUAGGCACUUGAUAAAUGUUGAAUAAAUGACUAAAUGGUGACCUAAGUGCUGUGGAGAAAAUAAUGGCAGGAUAAGGGGGAUGGUUUGGGUUUAUGUGUGUGUACACACAUGCUGGGGGAUGGUUAAAGUGAAGCAAAAGUAAUACAAAACAGGAGGAUCUAGGAGGAUCUGUAGUUUCAGUCUCCUCAGAGGCUUCCUAAGAGGGCUUUAGGUGGAGGGAAUUUCCUGGGAUCACACUAAGGAGUGGCCCAGAUUUUUGGAAAGCUGCCUAAGAAGGGUACCCUGCAAAGCAGAUGGAGCCAGCAUUCAUUUCCCUCAGCCAGCGCCCCUUCCUCUUGGAAGCAUCUGUUCCCUCGCUGCCCCCACCAGGCCCUCCAGUUCCAGGGACUCACUCCUUGCGUGCCAUUGUUCUCAGGUGCUAAGGGGCUUACUCUAUGCACUUAACUCGGGGACAGUAACUUCAACCAGGGGUUGGCCCCUACUGGGAGUGCUUCCUGAGGUCCACUCAAGGCACACCACCACACCCUUACUUUAAGGCACUCCCUCAUUUCUGUCAGGGUUCCACUGGUUAAUACUGAGGGGAGCCAGUGAAAAAUAUUUACCUUAAGACUGCUCAAAUUCUCCAGACAUGGACAUUCAAGACUUUCUGUGACCAAAACACAAUAUUGGAAAACAGUUAUUUCUGAGACAUGUAUACAUUUUGGCAAAAAAUAACCUCAAUAAUUUCAUCAGAGAAUCGCAGAAACUAGGCAAGCAGAAGAAACCGAAAGAGGUGAGAUCCUCAAAUUCUGGGCACAGGUCUUGGGGAAGAUGCCUCUAACAUGCCAAGCUCAUCCCAUCUAGGGUCCCUUGCACUUACUGAACUCUGUGUGUGGGACCCUCUGCUUCCAGAUCUUGUGGUCACUUCCUUCCCAUUAUUAAGAUCUGAUGUUUCUAGACUUCUUGGACCAAACUAAUCUAGCCAGUCAUUCUAUAUCACUUGGGCUCUUUAUUAUUUUUUUUCAUAUUCAUUCAUGAGUUUCACAAAUAUGUACUGAGUAUCUACUCUGUGCUUCUUUUGUAGACACAUGGGGAUACAGUGAACAGAGAAAAAUCCCUGCCCUCAUGGAACUAACAUUCUAGGGAAGGGAGAGAGUCAAUAAACAAUUUUUUAAAAAAAGCUUUCAGAUGGUACAAAUGCUAGGGAUAAAAUUAAAGCAGGGAGUGCUGGGGUGGCAUUGGGGUUUCAGUUUUAAAGAAAACUGUUCAGGGAAUUUUUGACUUCGAAUAUAAUAUUUCAGCAAAGAUCUGAAGAAGAUAAAUGUUCAUGUGGCUGGAGUGGAGUGAUUAAGAGGGAUCAUAAAGAGAGGUGGUCAGACAGGUCACCAGGAGGGGGGAGUGGAAUCCAGACCAUGUGUGGCCUUGUAAGCCAUUGUAAAGACCCUGGCUUUUAUCCUGGGUGAAAUGGGAAGUACUUAUUCCUAUCAAAAAUUAUUGGGUUUAUGUGCUGUACUCAGUUGCUCAGUCCUGUCCCACUCUUCACCACCCCAGAGGAAGCCCUAUUGUGUUUAUAUCCCCUUCCCAGUUAGAAGGAGGUGAAGACUUUGUCUCUCAUUCGCAGCUGUAUCUUCACAACUUAGAACAGUGUCCAGCCCGAAGAAAGUGCUCAGUGACUCUGUUGAAUGUGAAUGAAUGCAUGAACUGGACAGGUGCAAUAUUAAAUAUUACCACAGGAUACCUAUGUCUAAGCAUGACUCACUGCAGUGAAGUUGAAGAAAACAAUGACAUUGAAUUCAGAUUUAGGAGACUUGGGAUCUAUAUUCUGACUGACAGUAUGACCUUGGACAAGUCACUUCCCUACCCUGAACCUCAGUCUCUUCAGCUGUAAAAUAAGGUUAUACUAGCUACUUUCUGGCUCUGACAGCUUAUGAUUCCAUAAUACAGGAAACACACCAGUGAUGUAUCAUCCUCUGACGAUGACCUGUUUAUGGGCUUCUGGCAACUUACUUCCAUUCUAUGAUUCAUCUUUUAAUGAAUGUUAUUCCCACUCUCAUUUGGAGAGGAUAUAUUUCUUGAGUAACUUCUUGAGUGGGUGCAGGCUUGAAACAACCAAGGCCAACUCCAGCUCUGUAGUUGGAGUUUUCAGGCCAUCUUUACAGUAAACAUGAUACCCCUACCUCAGUGCUGUCCCAUUGUUAGAGCCACAUUGAUCCUUUGAGGUUUAAAAGAAUAGAGGACCAAACUCAACUCAUAAAUAAUGAGUCAGUUUUAACAGAGACAGAAUUAAAGUGGGGUCCACCCUAGCCAGGAUUUAAUUUAAGCAAAUAAAUGUAGUUUUAAUUUUUAGCUUUAAAAGCUUUUAAAUAUAUUUUACUAGGGCUAACCUAGUUAUACAAAGCAAGCAUACGUUCUUAAAGAGAUGAUUAAAUCCUAGUAGCAUGGGCUGUAGUCUACAUAUAGAUGUCAUAAACCUUUAUUUCCUGGAUAUUUCCCACUGGAUCAUGGUAACUGUAAACUUAUAGUCACACUACAUACUUUUCACCACAAUUAUUACUGGAAUCUUACUAGUGUUUCAGAAAAAGCAAACUAGUUCAUCACACUAACUGGUUAACUGACUCAGUAUUCCUCCAAUUUAGAUCAGCCUACUGGAAAACUCAGUAUUCAGCAAUGCGAUGAACAAACUCUUUAAAUACAAUCUAAUUUAAAGUAAGAAAAGAAAUCAAUCCAACGUUCUGUAACCUUGGCACUUGGAUCUGUGGAACGCUCAUCAUCAAAACUAAAGAAAAGAUACAAGACAUUUCAUUUUCUUUGUAUUUUAUAUGUAGGAAUGAAUAAUGAUUAAUGAAUAUAAUGACUGUUAAAGAACCAUCUGUCCAAGUCUUUAUUUAUAUAGAUGCAAACCUGGUAUGGUAUGUCUGUGAGUUCUCAAAAUAAAAAUGACAGCUACAUUGA